This is a non-coding RNA of Drosophila bipectinata, 348 nucleotides long. Lineage: Eukaryota; Metazoa; Arthropoda; Insecta; Diptera; Drosophilidae. The record is from RefSeq and is a predicted model, not a curated record.
UGGACUGAAGAAAGGAAGGUUGAGUUCUACAAAAAAUUCUGAUAAGAUUUUAACAAAACACUCAGUUUUGUUUUUGCCAGCGACAAAGCCACAUAGAAUUUAAGAAUCUUUUGAAAGAAAAGAAAAUAUAAGAAGAAAUCGAAACAAAACAAAACCACGAAACCAAACAUGAGCUUUGGGCAUAUUGUUUUAAUCCAAAUACGGGAUGUGACGGGAAAACGACUGGACCCCACUUGACAAAAAACAGUGAUAAAUUUUAUAUAAAAAGCUGUAAAAAGUGCAAAGCACUUUGCAUUAGUAUCGGCCUUUGUACUGCUGCUGCCAUAGAAUAGGAAGAGAUAAGGGCAA